AGAAUGGUUCAAACAAACUCUCCAUUCCACAUAUUGAGCCAUUCAAUAUAUCGGUUUCUUCGCGGCUUCCACCAUCGACGUGGUUUCUGAUUGCCGAUGGAAAGAAAAGUUCGACUCCUUUCUUCAAUGGCUGAAACUUACAGCUUGUUGGGUCACAAUUGCAACAACUUUAGUAAUGAGGUUGAUCAGCCUUUGGUUGGCUCGACCAUCCCUGAGUAUAUUCUUCAGCUUCCCAGCGAAGUUAGCAGCAGUCCCGUCGGUAGACUCCUGCGUAAGUCGGGAUAGAGAUAACAAUCAUAGAUUCUUUUUAGUCGAUACAUCUAUUAUAUUAUUCGUGGUAAUGUUCGUUGUAUUGACCGUGUCGAUGAUUCAAAACCUCAAAACAAUGUUAAGAUCU
Molecule: long non-coding RNA, 397 nt
Organism: Cucurbita maxima (winter squash)
Lineage: Eukaryota; Viridiplantae; Streptophyta; Magnoliopsida; Cucurbitales; Cucurbitaceae
Exons: 2
Source: RefSeq, a predicted model, not a curated record